CCUAGGGAUGAGCCUGGGUUCCAGAACUUACCCGGGGAGGCGGGUAGGGUGAGGAAUGACAAGAGACUGUACCAUUCAGGAGGUGUUAGGACCAGCGCCCCGGCAGGUACAGAAGGAUGCUGACCCAGAGCCUGGGAUGCGGGCUUCCAGCACGACGCACAGAGAGAGGGACGCGUCAAGGUCCGAAAGGGGAUGGAAACCAGUCCCUAUUUGAGGAAAGUGUCAGUUCGGGCACCUGGUUCGCGGAUGGGUGCCCACAUCCUGAGGCACCUAAGCAGCAACAGGUAACAAAAGCACCAGGCCACCUGGAGAGGCCCCGUGUAGGUGAGACUCGAUUACUGGCCAGGAUCAACCUCCUCCAACGUGAAUGAUUCCAGUUCCAGACGUGAGAUCACUCUAGUCACUCCGGACUUUGUGAGUUUCCCAGCUGAGUUCCCAGAGAAGAGCCGUACCCACUUUGCCCUGCCCAAAUUCCUGACUCACAAAACCUGAG
Cervus elaphus (red deer) is the source of this 493-nucleotide long non-coding RNA. RefSeq lists it as uncharacterized. The transcript has 3 exons. The record is from RefSeq and is a predicted model, not a curated record. Lineage: Eukaryota; Metazoa; Chordata; Mammalia; Artiodactyla; Cervidae.